This 2080-nucleotide long non-coding RNA is filed under the name Varroa destructor (honeybee mite). RNAcentral describes it as "uncharacterized LOC111250820". The record is from RNAcentral. Lineage: Eukaryota; Metazoa; Arthropoda; Arachnida; Mesostigmata; Varroidae.
UCUAGUUACUGUAAUGGGAUCGUUGCAAUGAGAUAACGAUAUUGCUGCUCGAAACUGCUGUAAAGGUGCCUACAAUCGAGCUAUAAUUUGUUUGGAUAGACCCAGAGCGAAUCAAAUUCUUCCUUUUCUGGUAUGUCUAUCCGACUAUAAGGAUCCUUUAUGAAAUCACCUUUUUUUGUUCGGAACCUCUUGAAUAUCGUAAAAGCUGAUGUAAACUACGCUCAGCGUCUACUUUAUGCCCGCUUCCGUUGUCGGUUCCUGUGGGUUGUCGCUUCGCCUCUACAUCUGAACACGGGUCCAACCUCCACCCACAGUGCCCGACACGUUGGUAAUUCUGGAGGCGGCUUAGCGGCCCAACGUACUUAUCGACGAACUGGAAUAUGCAAGUGGAAAGAAAGUACAUGCACUUCAAAACGGUCUGUCGAGAAACGCACGUAUCAAGAAGAAAACAACACAUUUAACGGUUGAAGACUCGUUUGAUCGCCGAUGCAGAAUGGCAACCAUAAAAGUGGCUAAAGCGCCAUCGCAGCUCGUUAGCUUACCCGACUAGCUUUUCCGGCUUCAUGAACUACUUCUCGGAACUGAUCACGUCGAGGGAUAUAGCACCAGACGCGGCGCCCUUUUUCGCUGCAGUGUGGGAAAAGGUGAUCUCAAUGCAAUGAAGUAUCCUUCAAGAAACUACAGUACGGGAACUAAUGCAAGGCCUUAGGAGCUUGCGCAGUAGGAAAGCUGCCGAUCCAGAUCUCAGCAUCUGAAAUGCGCAGUCGUUUUGGCCUCGUGCUGGAGGGCACUAUUUAGUAAUGUUUACAUACUGAUACACUCUUAGCCUAGUGAAGACUGCUUUCGUAUUUACUGAUCCCCGAAAGAAGGAGCGACCUUACCGCGCCGUCAUCAUAGCGGGAAAUAGCAAAAAAGAGUAUUUGUUAUAAGUUGCUCGCCGGUCUGCUGAGUAAGAAAUUCAACAGCUACUUGGAAAGCGUACAUGUCAUACCAACGGAGCAAGAUGUAUUCGUCGAUUUAAAGGCAGUCUUCGACUUUGAGCCAGGACAGGGAAGGUCUCUCCAUGAACGUGCUCAACCUUCUAGCUGCGAUUCUACAAGGGAACAGGCCAAUCAUCGAUGAUAACCAUCGAUGGGUGGCGAAACUUCCGUUUUUCAUACGUGUAAUUGGCCUCACUCAAGGAAAAACCUAAGCCUACUCUUAUUUUUCAUCUUGCUGAAGGGCCUUUCCAAUCGAAUGGGAAGCCAAGAAUAUCAGUCGCAGUCAUCUUGUACGCAGACGACUUAGGAGUCGAACAGGUUUCAAGUGCAGAAAGUUCUGCGCUGGUUCUUGCAGCAGUCGCAUAUUUGGGACUGACCGUAAACCUGACUAAAACGAAGGCGAUGGAACUUAUAUGAUGAUAGUGGCCACCGAAACCUUGUAUUUGACCAAAUCGUUUAUGUAAAUUAAUUUCUAUACCUAAGGUCGUUCGCGAACGGCAGAAGUUUUACUGCGUACAUAACCAAAAAAUAAAAGAAGUGUUAGCCGCAUGGGCGAUAAAAUCGUCUUAUCGCUUGUCCCUACCAACCGCUAUCAACUUGUUCGAUUUCGAAGUACCUCCGACCGCAACAUUUAAAUCGUGUCGAAGUCUGCUUCCUCAGAAAAGCAUUGACUACGCAUAGUGAUCCGGAAUCGCCACUGGUGUUUGAGGUCCCGCAUCGUCGCUUUGAGCUCCUAGAAAGUAAAAUCUUCAAGGCGGAUUUUAGCAACUUAGAGCGAAAAUUUGCAGAGAUCGACGGGGAUUUCUUUGCUUUGAACGCGAUGAGGAAUAACGAGUGGAAAGGGACAAACCUACAAAACAGGUCGUCACUCGUUUUGCCACACAUGGGUUUGACCAUAGACGUUGCGGGAAAUUAGGUUUCUACUACUUCUAUGUCUAUGCGAGAAGCGGAGAAAAUGACGUCAGAUGCUAUGCUACUCGAUGACCUCUGUACGAUUUCUAGGACAUCUGGCAAAUCUUUCAAACCAGUUUUAUUGUGUUGCUGACCUGUAUUCAUGAAAUUUUCCACGAAGCUUUUGGUUACUACCAGCAAAGUUUAAU